This 468-nucleotide ribosomal RNA is filed under the name uncultured bacterium. RNAcentral's name for it is "partial 16S ribosomal RNA". It matches the Rfam family "Bacterial small subunit ribosomal RNA", at positions 28 to 507 of the family's 1533-position model. The record is from RNAcentral.
GACGAACGCUGGCGGCGUGCUUAACACAUGCAAGUCGAACGGAACGGCCCUGCCUUUGUGGGGUGCUCGAGUGGCGAACGGGUGAGUAACACGUGAGUAACCUGCCCUUGACUUUGGGAUAACUUCAGGAAACUGGGGCUAAUACCGGAUAGGAGCUCCUGCUGCAUGGUGGGGGUUGGAAAGUUUCGGCGGUUGGGGAUGGACUCGCGGCUUAUCGGCUUGUUGGUGGGGUAGUGGCUUACCAAGGCUUUGACGGGUAGCCGACCUGAGAGGGUGACCGGACACAUUGGGACUGAGAUACGGCCCAGACUCCUACGGGAGGCAGCAGUGGAGAAUAUUGCACAAUGGGCGGAAGCCUGAUGCAGCAACGCCGCGUGCGGGAUGACGGCCUUCGGGUUGUAAACCGCUGUCGCCUGUGACGAAGCGUGAGUGACGGUAAUGGGUAAAGAAGCACCGGCUAACUACGUG